AUUGAACGCUGGCGGCAUGCCUUACACAUGCAAGUCGAACGGCAGCACGGGAGCAAUCCUGGUGGCGAGUGGCGAACGGGUGAGUAAUAUAUCGGAACGUGCCCAGUCGUGGGGGAUAACGUAGCGAAAGCUACGCUAAUACCGCAUACGAUCUACGGAUGAAAGCGGGGGAUCGCAAGACCUCGCGCGAUUGGAGCGGCCGAUAUCAGAGUAGGUAGUUGGUGGGGUAAAGGCUCACCAAGCCGACGAUCUGUAGCUGGUCUGAGAGGACGACCAGCCACACUGGGACUGAGACACGGCCCAGACUCCUACGGGAGGCAGCAGUGGGGAAUUUUGGACAAUGGGCGCAAGCCUGAUCCAGCAAUGCCGCGUGCAGGAUGAAGGCCUUCGGGUUGUAAACUGCUUUUGUACGGAACGAAACGGCGAGCUCUAAUACAGUUUGCUAAUGACGGUACCGUAAGAAUAAGCACCGGCUAACUACGUGCCAGCCGCCGCGGUAA
This 500-nucleotide ribosomal RNA is filed under the name uncultured bacterium. Its description in RNAcentral is "partial 16S ribosomal RNA". It matches the Rfam family "Bacterial small subunit ribosomal RNA", at positions 30 to 523 of the family's 1533-position model. The record is from RNAcentral.